CGAAACAUGCCACGCUAUUUGGAGGAUGGCUCGGCUUGAGAGCCGAAGAAGGGCGCGGCAAGCCGCGAUACCGCCUCGGGUAAGCGCAAGCAGCCUUAGAACCGAGGAUACCCGAAUGAGACUUCUCAUCAACCGCAAGGUUGUUGCUCCUUUACGGAGCGGGAACCCCCCGAACGGAAGCAUCUUAGUAGGGGGAGGAAAAGAAACCAAUCACGGGAUUCCCUUAGUAGCAGCGAGCGAACUGGGAAUAGUCCAAACCGAAUCCCGCACAGAAAUGUGUGGGAGAUGUAGGGUUAAGGGCCCGGCUUCCUCUUCAUUGGCAAAGUUGAAAUGGCCUGAAAUGGCCCGCCACAGAGGGUGAAAGCCCCGUAAACGUAAGCCAAAAAGAGUUGAGCUGGAGUCCCAGACUACCGUACCAUGGUUUUGGUGCGGAAAGUUGGGAGUCACCAACUUCCAAGACUAAAUACAACUCAAGACCGAUAGCGCACUAGUACGGUGACGGAAAACUGAAAAGUACCCCGGAAUGGGGGUGAAAAGUGCCUGAAACCAAAUAGUUACAGACGUGCGAGGCCCAGAAGAAACGAAACCUUCCGAAGGAAACCGCUGUGAAGCGGCAUUACGAGGAAGGCGGAUCAGGGUUUCGCGUUCCGUCUAGAAACACGGGCCGGGGAGUUUAUAGCUAUGGCAAGCCUAAAAGCAAACAACUUGUAAGCAAAGGGAAACCAACAAGCACGCAACUCCGCAAGGAGCCAGGUGCAAGGUCUGAAAAGGCCUGAAGUCAUAACUAUACAUACUAGAAACCAGACGAUCUAGCCCUGGGCAGGGCGAAGCUAGGCGAAAGCCUAGUGGAGGCUCGAAAGGGUUCUGACGUGCAAUUCGUUCCCCAGACCUGGGGCUAGGGGCUAAAGACCAAUCUAGUCUGGUGAUAGCUAGUUCCUUCCGAAGUGGGCCUGAGCCCAGUCCUGAGCGAGGCAGCUAGUGGGGUAGAGCACUGAUUGGAAAACAAGGAUUCGAAAGAGUCCACUUUCCUUUCAAACUACGAAUCCACUCGCACUGUAGACCUCGGGAAGCGGGUUACAGGGGGUAAGCUCCUGGACCGAGAGGGGGACAACCCAGACUGAGGUUAAAGUCCCCAAGUGCUGGCUAAAUGUCAAACCAAAGGGCGUCGUCAGCCUCAGACAGCGGGGAGGUAGGCUUAGAAGCAGCCAUCCUUCAAAGAUAGCGUAACAGCUCACCCGCCGAGGCUGACGGCCCCGAAAAUUGACGGGGCUAAGCCAGCCACUGAUACCUCAGAACGCAGCUUAAGCUGCGCUGGUAGGAAGGCGUCCUAGUUGGACAGAAGCUGGGCUGUGAGGUCCAGUGGACCGAUUAGGAUUGCGAAUCCCGGUGGUAGUAACAGCAAAGAAAAGUGAGAAUCUUUUCCGCCGAAGGGGCCAGGGUUCCCCGGCAACGAUCGUCAGCCGGGGGUAAGUCGAUCCUAAGGCAUAACUUAACCGAUUAUGCCGAAAAAGGGAAUCCGGCUAAAAUUCCGGAACCAUAGAGGUACGCGCGGCAACGCAAGCUAAGUGUUGACGUUUCGGGGUAAGCUAAGCAAGGUCUUCGCCUUGUUUAACCGUAUAAACCUGGGGAGUGCCGUAAUGGCGAGAACCAGGCGAAAUCGGGAAUAGCCACCCGUUUUAGGGAGGUUUAGCCAAUCUCUGGAGCCACUGAAAAACACACUUAGAAGGAUCCUCUGUGAUCGUACCUAGAACCGACACAGGUGUCCCUAGGCGAGAAACCUAAGGCGUGUCGGGUAUACACUAAUGCGAGGGAACUCGGCAAAUUAGCCCCGUACCUUUGGUAUAAGGGGUGCCUGUUCUUUCAGCUUCGGCUGGGAGAGCAGGUCGCAGUGACAAAGGGGUCUCGACUGUUUAAUAAAAACAUAGGAAGCCGCAAGAGCGAAAGCUUGUGAACGGCUUCUGAAUCCUGGCCAGUACAGGUACCUGAAACCUGGGUCCAACUGGGCUAAGGGCCUGCAAACGCCGGGAGUAACUCUGACUCUCUCAAGGUAGCCAAAUGCCUUGUCGGGUAAGUUCCGACGUGCAUGAAUG
This 2090-nucleotide ribosomal RNA is filed under the name Candidatus Bathyarchaeota archaeon. Its description in RNAcentral is "bacterial LSU rRNA". It matches the Rfam family "Archaeal large subunit ribosomal RNA", at positions 1 to 2075 of the family's 2987-position model. The record is from RNAcentral. Lineage: Archaea; Thermoproteati; Candidatus Bathyarchaeota.